AUCGGGAACACUGUUGUAGCAGUAGAUGUUAUUCGACAUCUCCCAGCUCCAGUCGUCCUUCCUAGAGAUGGCCAUCGACGGCCACCGGUUGAUUCUCACAUAGUGGCUCCUGAUCUUUCCCUCGCCCACAAAGCUUGUCAUGAUCGAGAAUGUGCAUUCGUGUCCACCCCAUACUUCGUCGCCAGGGUCGGCCGUGUGGGACCCGUCAGGGUGG
Molecule: unclassified non-coding RNA, 214 nt
Filed under: Hevea brasiliensis (rubber tree)
Lineage: Eukaryota; Viridiplantae; Streptophyta; Magnoliopsida; Malpighiales; Euphorbiaceae
Source: RNAcentral